Molecule: ribosomal RNA, 468 nt
Filed under: uncultured bacterium
Lineage: Bacteria
Description: partial 16S ribosomal RNA
Rfam family: Bacterial small subunit ribosomal RNA
Source: RNAcentral
GACGAACGCUGGCGGCGCGCUUAACACAUGCAAGUCGAACGGAAAGGCCCUGCUUUUGUGGGGUGCUCGAGUGGCGAACGGGUGAGUAACACGUGAGUAACCUGCCCUUGACUUUGGGAUAACUUCAGGAAACUGGGGCUAAUACCGGAUAGGAGCUCCUGCUGCAUGGUGGGGGUUGGAAAGUUUCGGCGGUUGGGGAUGGACUCGCGGCUUAUCAGCUUGUUGGUGGGGUAGUGGCUUACCAAGGCUUUGACGGGUAGCCGGCCUGAGAGGGUGACCGGCCACAUUGGGACUGAGAUACGGCCCAGACUCCUACGGGAGGCAGCAGUGGGGAAUAUUGCACAAUGGGCGGAAGCCUUAUGCAGCAACGCCGCGUGCGGGAUGACGGCCUUCGGGUUGUAAACCGCUUUCGCCUGUGACGAAGCGUGAGUGACGGUAAUGGGUAAAGAAGCACCGGCUAACUACGUG